This 1798-nucleotide ribosomal RNA is filed under the name Staphylococcus aureus. RNAcentral describes it as "partial 23S ribosomal RNA". It matches the Rfam family "Bacterial large subunit ribosomal RNA", at positions 1012 to 2811 of the family's 2925-position model. Lineage: Bacteria; Bacillati; Bacillota; Bacilli; Caryophanales; Staphylococcaceae. The record is from RNAcentral.
CGAAAGGGAAACAGCCCAGACCACCAGCUAAGGUCCCAAAAUAUAUGUUAAGUGGAAAAGGAUGUGGCGUUGCCCAGACAACUAGGAUGUUGGCUUAGAAGCAGCCAUCAUUUAAAGAGUGCGUAAUAGCUCACUAGUCGAGUGACACUGCGCCGAAAAUGUACCGGGGCUAAACAUAUUACCGAAGCUGUGGAUUGUCCUUUGGACAAUGGUAGGAGAGCGUUCUAAGGGCGUUGAAGCAUGAUCGUAAGGACAUGUGGAGCGCUUAGAAGUGAGAAUGCCGGUGUGAGUAGCGAAAGACGGGUGAGAAUCCCGUCCACCGAUUGACUAAGGUUUCCAGAGGAAGGCUCGUCCGCUCUGGGUUAGUCGGGUCCUAAGCUGAGGCCGACAGGCGUAGGCGAUGGAUAACAGGUUGAUAUUCCUGUACCACCUAUAAUCGUUUUAAUCGAUGGGGGGACGCAGUAGGAUAGGCGAAGCGUGCGAUUGGAUUGCACGUCUAAGCAGUAAGGCUGAGUAUUAGGCAAAUCCGGUACUCGUUAAGGCUGAGCUGUGAUGGGGAGAAGACAUUGUGUCUUCGAGUCGUUGAUUUCACACUGCCGAGAAAAGCCUCUAGAUAGAAAAUAGGUGCCCGUACCGCAAACCGACACAGGUAGUCAAGAUGAGAAUUCUAAGGUGAGCGAGCGAACUCUCGUUAAGGAACUCGGCAAAAUGACCCCGUAACUUCGGGAGAAGGGGUGCUCUUUAGGGUUAACGCCCAGAAGAGCCGCAGUGAAUAGGCCCAAGCGACUGUUUAUCAAAAACACAGGUCUCUGCUAAACCGUAAGGUGAUGUAUAGGGGCUGACGCCUGCCCGGUGCUGGAAGGUUAAGAGGAGUGGUUAGCUUCUGCGAAGCUACGAAUCGAAGCCCCAGUAAACGGCGGCCGUAACUAUAACGGUCCUAAGGUAGCGAAAUUCCUUGUCGGGUAAGUUCCGACCCGCACGAAAGGCGUAACGAUUUGGGCACUGUCUCAACGAGAGACUCGGUGAAAUCAUAGUACCUGUGAAGAUGCAGGUUACCCGCGACAGGACGGAAAGACCCCGUGGAGCUUUACUGUAGCCUGAUAUUGAAAUUCGGCACAGCUUGUACAGGAUAGGUAGGAGCCUUUGAAACGUGAGCGCUAGCUUACGUGGAGGCGCUGGUGGGAUACUACCCUAGCUGUGUUGGCUUUCUAACCCGCACCACUUAUCGUGGUGGGAGACAGUGUCAGGCGGGCAGUUUGACUGGGGCGGUCGCCUCCUAAAAGGUAACGGAGGCGCUCAAAGGUUCCCUCAGAAUGGUUGGAAAUCAUUCAUAGAGUGUAAAGGCAUAAGGGAGCUUGACUGCGAGACCUACAAGUCGAGCAGGGUCGAAAGACGGACUUAGUGAUCCGGUGGUUCCGCAUGGAAGGGCCAUCGCUCAACGGAUAAAAGCUACCCCGGGGAUAACAGGCUUAUCUCCCCCAAGAGUUCACAUCGACGGGGAGGUUUGGCACCUCGAUGUCGGCUCAUCGCAUCCUGGGGCUGUAGUCGGUCCCAAGGGUUGGGCUGUUCGCCCAUUAAAGCGGUACGCGAGCUGGGUUCAGAACGUCGUGAGACAGUUCGGUCCCUAUCCGUCGUGGGCGUAGGAAAUUUGAGAGGAGCUGUCCUUAGUACGAGAGGACCGGGAUGGACAUACCUCUGGUGUACCAGUUGUCGUGCCAACGGCAUAGCUGGGUAGCUAUGUGUGGACGGGAUAAGUGCUGAAAGCAUCUAAGCAUGAAGCCCCCCUCAAGAUGAGAUU